This 489-nucleotide ribosomal RNA is filed under the name uncultured bacterium. RNAcentral's name for it is "partial 16S ribosomal RNA". It matches the Rfam family "Bacterial small subunit ribosomal RNA", at positions 29 to 504 of the family's 1533-position model. The record is from RNAcentral.
AUUGAACGCUGGCGGCAUGCUUUACACAUGCAAGUCGAACGGUAACAGGCCUUCGGGUGCUGACGAGUGGCGAACGGGUGAGUAAUGCAUCGGAACGUACCCAGAGGUGGGGGAUAACGCAGCGAAAGCUGUGCUAAUACCGCAUGUGAUCUGAGGAUGAAAGCGGGGGACCGAGCAGCAAUGUUUGGCCUCGCGCCUUUGGAGCGGCCGAUGUCGGAUUAGCUAGUUGGUGGGGUAAAGGCCUACCAAGGCGACGAUCCGUAGCUGGUCUGAGAGGACGACCAGCCACACUGGGACUGAGACACGGCCCAGACUCCUACGGGAGGCAGCAGUGGGGAAUUGUGGACAAUGGGCGCAAGCCUGAUCCAGCAAUGCCGCGUGCGGGAAGAAGGCCUGCGGGUUGUAAACCGCUUUUGGCAGGAACGAAACGGUGUCCGCUAAUACCGGGCGCUAAUGACGGUACCUGCAGAAUAAGCACCGGCUAACUAC